Stegodyphus dumicola is the source of this 1274-nucleotide long non-coding RNA. The record is from RefSeq and is a predicted model, not a curated record. NCBI's taxonomy places the organism in Eukaryota, Metazoa, Arthropoda, Arachnida, Araneae, Eresidae.
UUGUAGUAAUCGGUUUGUAUGGUUAGUGUUGUGGUAGCUCUUAGGCCAUCUUACGAAUCUACGGCUGGCUGUGUCGGUGUAGCUGUGCUGUUAAAAGUACGUGGCGUGUGAAUUGAUGAAACCCUCCUUUUUUUCCUCUUCGCGAUAUUACUACUGGCGUCUCUCCCUCUUUUUUUUUUCUUUCUUUCUUUUCUUAUUUCUUUUUUAACGUGCUCAUUUUUAAAACCCGGCUGUAGGAGCAAACGGAAAAUGCAUCGAUUGACACAUUCUGGGGUUUGUACUUUGCUGCCUAUUUCCAAAAUGGUGCUCGGGGGUUCUUUUUAGCUGCUUGCUUGGUUCUUCUUCCCUUCUCAUUAUCGUCAUUUUUUUUCCAGGGUGUGUGUGUGUGUGUGAUGGAGUAGGAUUAUUUCCAUUUCCCCGGCUGCUGGAGAAAUUUAUGCUGUUUACCGUGUGCGCUUUUAUGUUAAUUUUCGGCUUUUGUUUCGGUGACUGCAUGUUUAGUUCGAAUAAUCGUUGUCGGAGUGAGCAUUCUGGACAAAAGCGAAUGGCGUAGCCAACAGUUACAAAAAUAUUAUUUAAUGUGCGGAAAGGAAAAUUUCACAGUAGCUGAAAGACUCUGCAAUUAAUUUGCAGACUCCCUGGUGGAUUUAGUAAUUUAUGAGGAUUUCGGCAUACUCUGAAAAAGAGCUUUGGUUUUGAAACACGGCUGGAAUGAAAAUGAAAAAUUGAAUUGCUCAAAAUUUAUUUAAAAUCGUCCUGCUAUGGUGAGACGAUAGAAUGUGAGAUCAUGCAGACGAUUACCUAGUCUUCUGUUUUCUUACAAGUGACUUGCACAUCCGGGAACUCACCGAUCUAGACCUUAACUUCAAAAGACUGGUGAUAUUUUAAUGCCAUGUAUAUCCAAAAAUCAUGAUAAUACACCAAAAAAAGUCUUAGCUCUCUGCUCUAGGGCUGGACCUAUAACAAGUAGGUCCUAAGACUGAAAACGAAAAAGUGGAAAGAGCCAGUGACGAGGCUACGUCUCAAUAACUGAUUCCGAGCACCAUCAACAAAAUCUAUAACUCUUCAAAAUACCAAACGCACUGAAUGGAGCCCAUGAACUUUAUUUACAAACUGCGAACUGAAAGACUGUGGACUGUCUCACUUGUAACAAAUAUUCUCACAUAACAAGAACCAUGCAUUCCAGUAUAUUAGCAAAUCCCCUUUGUAUUAUCUACUUACAUAAAUAUCAGAUGUGAAGACAAGACUACCUUCUACGGCCUGUUAAACAAUGC